ACUUGUACGGGGGAGUUUGUGAAAAAGGAUCAUUAAUUUGGUUUCUCCUUUAUAAGCUUCCCAAAGAGAGGGUAAGACGUUACAAGAACGAUCUUUGCCUUAUAACAUACCCUUCUUUUAAAAAUGUUUAUGAACGUCAAAAAAUGUAGGCUCGCCUUAAAAACGUGUAGCUGAAAUUAUAAAAUUAUACAACUUUUAACAACGGAUCUCUUGGCUCUCGCAUCGAUGAAGAACGCAGCGAAAUGCGAUAAGUAAUGUGAAUUGCAGAAUUCAGUGAAUCAUCGAAUCUUUGAACGCACCUUGCGCUCCCUGGUAUUCCGGGGAGCAUGCCUGUUUGAGUGUCAUUAAAUUCUCAACCUCGAAUCGUUUGUUUACAGACUUUACGAGGCUUGGACUUUGGAGUGUGCCGGUCUCUAACGAGAUCGACUCCUCUUUAAAUGCAUUAGCUGGAACCUCUUGUGGACCAGACUACGGUGUGAUAAUUAUCUACGCUGUUGGUCUUGUGAAGCACUUU
RNAcentral lists this ribosomal RNA (514 nucleotides) under Typhula ishikariensis. RNAcentral describes it as "eukaryotic LSU rRNA". The stretch from base 191 to 344 matches the Rfam family "5.8S ribosomal RNA". The record is from RNAcentral. Lineage: Eukaryota; Fungi; Basidiomycota; Agaricomycetes; Agaricales; Typhulaceae.